AGCAUGUGGAUUAAUUCGAUGCAACGCGAAAAACCUUACCUACCCUUGACAUGUCUGGAAUGCCGAAGAGAUUUGGCAGUGCUCGCAAGAGAACCGGAACACAGGUGCUGCAUGGCUGUCGUCAGCUCGUGUCGUGAGAUGUUGGGUUAAGUCCCGCAACGAGCGCAACCCUUGUCAUUAGUUGCUACGCAAGAGCACUCUAAUGAGACUGCCGGUGACAAACCGGAGGAAGGUGGGGAUGACGUCAAGUCCUCAUGGCCCUUAUGGGUAGGGCUUCACACGUCAUACAAUGGUCGGGACAGAGGGUCGCCAACCCGCGAGGGGGAGCCAAUCUCAGAAACCCGAUCGUAGUCCGGAUCGCAGUCUGCAACUCGACUGCGUGAAGUCGGAAUCGCUAGUAAUCGCGGAUCA
This 411-nucleotide ribosomal RNA is filed under the name Alcaligenes faecalis. Its description in RNAcentral is "bacterial SSU rRNA". It matches the Rfam family "Bacterial small subunit ribosomal RNA", at positions 936 to 1351 of the family's 1533-position model. Lineage: Bacteria; Pseudomonadati; Pseudomonadota; Betaproteobacteria; Burkholderiales; Alcaligenaceae. The record is from RNAcentral.